UGUACUUUGACUGUCAAAGGGAAGGAGCAGUUGCCUGGUUAGGGUGGAUGCACGAGAAUCACCUUGGAUGAGACAAUAAUUCUCUUCCCAGGCCCCGCCCCUGAGGAACAGAAUUGGGGUUCUCGACUCAGGUCCAGGAAAACCAGAACAGGAGGACGUCACCCAGCCAGCGGUGUAAGAUCUGAGCCAGGUACAGGAGUGCAUCCCAGCGCAGAAGGGGAACACACAGUUUGACUCUCAGUGAGUCCAGCUGAGUUCACCAGCGUUACUGUACAGCUCACAGCCACCUGCCGAAUGCUCCCUUCUGUGAAACACCAACCAACCCAGGCCAGGCAGAAAAAAAACUGAGGGUUUCCUUUAAGAAAUAUGGCUUAACUUCAUCCAGCAGCUGGUGGAAGUAAAAGCCGACACCCACAACUAUUCACCGAACUGAACUGGAAUCCAGUUGCAGAGAAGGACGAGUGAAAAGCAAAGGGGUCCAGACCAGGCUGGUGAAACCCACAGAAACAGCUGACUUGAACAUCAGGGAACUCUUGCUCCCCAGACUGAUAGCUGGGAUACCAGCAUGAGACUGAUCCAGCCCCCAGG
Molecule: long non-coding RNA, 588 nt
Filed under: Cricetulus griseus (Chinese hamster)
Lineage: Eukaryota; Metazoa; Chordata; Mammalia; Rodentia; Cricetidae
Description: lncRNA (ENSCGRG00015040976.1)
Source: RNAcentral